UUAAUCUUGUAGGCCUUUUUCAUACAACAAAAAGAAGCAAUAAAGUUUUUUUCCCUUAGCCAAUAUCAUUCCAAAACACAGUUAAAUAACUCUGAUUAACUGAAAAGGAAGUUGGGAAGAUAUUACCUUUUUUAAGCCUAUUGCAGACAGCCUUUCCUCAUCAAGAUUGACAGCAACUUGAUAUACCUAAUACACAAAGAUUAAUUUUUCAACUGAAGAAACAAUGAUUCAUUUCAUAUUAAAAGAAAGUAAAGUAAAUCUUAUUUUCAGCUAAGUAUUUAGGACAUCUACUGGUUGCAAUAUAAAAGGUUAUAUGGAAUUCUGUUUGAUUCCCAUUAAUGAACUACGUUUGCAUCAGCGAGUAAACACUCUUUUCCCGUAACACAUUAUGGAGUAUGCAUUGUAACAAAUCCUGUACAGACAUUCCCUUGCUCUUUCAUGCACCCUCCUGUGACAUUAUACUCCAUAUUCUUUACGAAAAUAUGCUUGUGAUAGGAAUAUGACAUAACUAAGUUGUACUUUAAGCAAGAUGAGCCUUGUAAGGUAUCGUUGGAAAGGUUAUGAUUUACUGAAUAGGAUUAUCCUAUUUGUAUGCAUGUAUCAUUUCCGUAUCUGAAAUUAGGAAUAUUGUCUAUGUAUCUAUAUUUCAACUAUGUUAUUUUGGGCAACACCCCCUGCUAACAACUUCAGAUACAACAAUGAAAAAGCCUGAGUGCUCAGGCCCAUCAGCAAGAGCCAAUGGACUAUAAAAGAGCUUUGUCUUCCUGUGAACAUGUGGGUCAGUCUGUGAAGAAUGGCUACAGGCACCCUACAGAGGCAUGUGACCAUGUCACUGGAUACUGUAACCCAUCUUGAAUUUCUGUACUUUUCCAUGAGAAGCUGGAGGGGUGGGGUGGGGGGGGUCAAACUAGGAAACAAAUGACUCCCGCCUUAUGCAAAUCCUAUUUAAGGGUGGAGAGUGAGGUAAUCCCGGUAGUCAGUUCUCCCCUGCUAUCCCACCCAAGAUGACUGCUGGAAGCAACGAAGACUGAACUGGGGGAAAGAACUGUCCUCAGGCUGGAAGGGCACCUGGCCUGUGAAGAAGAUUAUUAGAAUCACAUUUAGGGAUUGAAGGGAGAAACAGAGGAAUGUGAAGAAAACAUGUAUUUGGACAUGCUAUGCAAGUGAAGCCCUGCACCCCUUUAGAUUAAAAUGUCUCUAUACUGAAAUAUUUGUUAGCCUUGGGCUGUGUAAUGUUCUUGAUACAAAUUAACAGUAUGUUCAUUCUAUGUAUUAAGAAAAUGCAUCAAUGUUAAAUUCUUCAUAUUGCUCACAGUAUCAACAGUCAUAAUGGUAAAGAUGCGUGCUGGGAAUGGUGUUAACUGCAGAUACAAAUUUGUGUUAUGGUUACAUAACACAAAGACGCAUGGAAAAAGAUCUGUUAAGGGAACCAUCUAUAACUGUCACUGUGUAAUCCUCAACCUCUCUCUCAAAAUAACAGAAGUUUAAUUUUAAUUCACAAUAUGGAAAAACUAUAAAUACGUGUCUUAAAUCAGAGACAAUAAAAUUAAGAUAUUGAACACUUGCA
Chelonia mydas (Green sea turtle) is the source of this 1567-nucleotide long non-coding RNA. RefSeq lists it as uncharacterized. The transcript has 2 exons. NCBI's taxonomy places the organism in Eukaryota, Metazoa, Chordata, Testudines, Cheloniidae. The record is from RefSeq and is a predicted model, not a curated record.